RNAcentral lists this ribosomal RNA (236 nucleotides) under uncultured Lactobacillus sp. RNAcentral describes it as "partial 16S ribosomal RNA". It matches the Rfam family "Bacterial small subunit ribosomal RNA", at positions 125 to 354 of the family's 1533-position model. The record is from RNAcentral. Lineage: Bacteria; Bacillati; Bacillota; Bacilli; Lactobacillales; Lactobacillaceae.
CCUGCCCAAGAGAUCGGGAUAACACCUGGAAACNGAUGCUAAUACCGGAUAACAACAGAUGAUGCCUAUCAACUGUUUAAAAGAUGGUUCUGCUAUCACUCUUGGAUGGACCUGCGGUGCAUUAGCUAGUUGGUAGGGUAACGGCCUACCAAGGCGAUGAUGCAUAGCCGAGUUGAGAGACUGAUCGGCCACAUUGGGACUGAGACACGGCCCAAACUCCUACGGGAGGCAGCAGA